Molecule: small RNA, 553 nt
Filed under: Pongo abelii (Sumatran orangutan)
Lineage: Eukaryota; Metazoa; Chordata; Mammalia; Primates; Hominidae
Description: processed transcript
Source: RNAcentral
GUGACGCAGGACAACGCCUGCCACGCGUCGGAACUCGGCCGCGGGGACAUCCACGGGGCGCGAGUGACACGCGGGAGGGAGAGCAGUGUUCUGCUGGAGCCGAUGCCAAAAACCAUGCAUUUCUUAUUCAGAUUCAUUGUUUUCUUUUAUCUGUGGGGCCUUUUUACUGCUCAGAGACAAAAGAAAGAGGAGAGGACCGAAGAAGUGAAAAUAGAAGUUUUGCAUCGUCCAGAAAACUGCUCUAAGACAAGCAAGAAGGGAGACCUACUAAAUGCCCAUUAUGACGGCUACCUGGCUAAAGACGGCUCGAAAUUCUACUGCAGAUAAACCUCUACUUGCAAAGGGAAUUUGAAAAAGAUGAGAAGCCACGUGACAAGUCAUAUCAGGAUGCAGUUUUAGAAGAUAUUUUUAAGAAGAAUGACCAUGAUGGUGAUGGCUUCAUUUCUCCCAAGGAAUACAAUGUAUACCAACACGAUGAACUAUAGCAUAUUUGUAUUUCUACUUUUUUUUAGCUAUUUACUGUACUUUAUGUAUAAAACAAAGUCACUUUUCU